This 406-nucleotide ribosomal RNA is filed under the name Clostridioides difficile. Its description in RNAcentral is "partial 23S ribosomal RNA". It matches the Rfam family "Bacterial large subunit ribosomal RNA", at positions 1447 to 1862 of the family's 2925-position model. The record is from RNAcentral. Lineage: Bacteria; Bacillati; Bacillota; Clostridia; Peptostreptococcales; Peptostreptococcaceae.
CCGAUAACCGUUUGAGAGAAGGGAUGACACAGUAGGAUAAGCUAAGCACACUGUUGGUUAUGUGUGCCCAAGCAUUGAGGCAGUCAAAGUAGGUAAAUCCGCUUUGAUAAUGCUGGGAUGUGAUGGGGAGCGAAAUUUAGUAGCGAAGUAGCUGAUUUCACACUGUCAAGAAAAGUCUCUAUCGAGGUUAAAGGUACCCGUACCGCAAACCGACACAGGUGGGUGAGGAGAGUAUCCUAAGGCCAGCGAGAUAACUGUUGUUAAGGAACUCGGCAAAAUGACCCCGUAACUUAGGGAUAAGGGGUGCCACCAUCAGGGGGCCGCAGAGAAUAGGCCCAAGCGACUGUUUACCAAAAACAUAGGUUUCUGCUAAGUCGCAAGACGAUGUAUAGGAGCUGACGCCUGC